GACGAACGCUGGCGGCGUGCUUAACACUUGCAAGUCGAACGGAAAUGCCCUGCUUUUGUGGGGUGCUCGAGUGGCGAACGGGUGAGUAACACGUUAGUAACCUGCCCUUGACUUUGGGAUAACUUCAGGAAACUGGGUCUAAUACCGGAUAGGAGCUCCUGCUGCAUGGUGGGGGUUGGAAAGUUUCGGCGGUUGGGGAUGGACUCGCGGCUUAUCAGCUUGUUGGUGGGGUAGUGGCUUACCAAGGCUUUGACGGAUAGCCGGCCUGAGAGGGUGACCGGCCACAUUGGGACUGAGGUACGGCCCAGACUCAUACGGGAGGCAGAAGUGGGGAAUAUUGCACAAUGGGCGGAAGCCUGAUGCAGCAACGCCGCGUGCGGGAUGACGGCCUUCGGGUUGUAAACCGCUUUCGCCUGUGACGAAGCGUGAGUGACGGUAAUGGGUAAAGAAGCACCGGCUAAAUACGUG
RNAcentral lists this ribosomal RNA (468 nucleotides) under uncultured bacterium. RNAcentral describes it as "partial 16S ribosomal RNA". It matches the Rfam family "Bacterial small subunit ribosomal RNA", at positions 28 to 507 of the family's 1533-position model. The record is from RNAcentral.